Molecule: long non-coding RNA, 1649 nt
Organism: Pleuronectes platessa (European plaice)
Lineage: Eukaryota; Metazoa; Chordata; Actinopteri; Pleuronectiformes; Pleuronectidae
Exons: 3
Source: RefSeq, a predicted model, not a curated record
CCUCAAGCUCUCCUGAAACCAGUGAGCAGCCGCAGUCAUCUGCUCCUCAGAUGGCAGCUCUUCUGCUGAAUGUGAGCUUCAUCUUCAUCAUCAUCAUCACACUCUCAGUGACUGUGAUGGCUUUCUGCAGGAUCAGAACCAGUAAACACAGAGGUUGAAGUCGACUCCAUCACGUGCACCGACACUGAGGUGGAGUCUAACCUCAGUGACUCACUCCACAGCGCCCCCUAUAGACAUGUGGACACUGUUACUCAGGUACAGAUGAACUGUGUCAGUGAAGAAGCUUCAUGUUCGCUGUUCUCCACUUAUUAAUAAACUUUCUAUCUAUUCAUAUGCAUUUGUUACCUCGAGCCUGAAUUACUGUACUUAUAGAUUUCAAUUGGUCGUCCAUGACUCCUCCAUGUACACACAAGUCAUUCAUGGAGUUCCUCAAGGAUCUGUCCUCGGACCUGGAUGUGUUAUAUAAUGUUGCUCACAGCCAGACACACGCACUAUUAGGCCUCUGCAAACACAGGCAUUAAUACAACACAAAAAAAAACAGCCUUACAGCCAUGAUAUUAUUUUGAAGGAUUUUAAGAAAUACAAUCUAAACAACAGGGCCGAGUGAGCAGAGACUGUGAGUAUACAAAAGUGUGCAGGUGAUGUCUGUGUGCAUAACGAGCAGCAGAAACCUUAUUGCUGCCAUGUGCAAAAACUUUAGGGUUAAUUAUUUUAGCCUAAACAUUGCUUUCAUUUCUUAAACCUACUAAUGAGAUAUUGGUGAGCAAUAUGCAUGGAGCAGAGCCAGUCCAUUCUCAGCUUUAUUUUGUAGACGGCGACUCUGAGAUUCAUUCUCCACGUUUAGCAUCGCUCUGUAUUUAUUCUUUAUGAACGUCAGGACUGAGGAGGUCUUGCACAAGUCCUCCAGCCUUGAUACGUUUUUAUUGUUAUAUAAGUUAAACAUCAAAGCCAAAAUCAGGUAAAGAUUCCUGCCUCCCCAACACUGUUACUAUUUAAUAUUUAUUAGAUGUGAUAUUUACAAUAUAUUUAAUUUUGUCUAUUUGAAAACACCUAAAUAUCUUUCAAUUUAAAGUCACCACGUGUGUGCCUGACUCAGAUUGAUGUUGAAAGACGAUGUGACUGAAUGUGAGAUGAAGACUGAGGUUCACUCUUAAUAACAUGAUUCAGUCGUGAUCUAUAAUAACACUCUAUGAUACAUGUAACUCACGUGAGGGAGAGCGUUCUCCGACAUCCACGCACAACUGGCCUCGUUCAGACUCACAAUGUAACUAGGUAGAUUGUUCCUGUAGCAGGCUCAGAGACAGUUUCAUCCCCCAGGCCAUAAGACUUUUAAACUCCUCUCCGUGACAUAUUUGCAUAUUUGCACUAUUGUUGUUUUAUUUUCUCCUCAGCUGUUUAUAUAUAUUUAGAUAUAUAUACUUUAUUUUCUAUUUAAAUUUUGAUAUUCUAUUUUAUUCUAUUUUAUACUAUUUCUAUUUUAUUUUAUUUUAUAGGUUGUAAUUACUUGAGCAUUGUUAGAAGAGAGCCUGAGACUCAAGCAUUUCACUGCCAGCGACUGCUUCAUGUUAUUGUUUUGCAUUUGACAAUAAAUAUCUUGAAUCUUGAAUCUUGAAUCUUGAAGGUCAAACAUCCGACUCACACAGAAACAC